Non-coding RNA from Pseudomonas syringae pv. pisi str. 1704B, 2894 nucleotides. The record is from Rfam. Lineage: Bacteria; Pseudomonadati; Pseudomonadota; Gammaproteobacteria; Pseudomonadales; Pseudomonadaceae.
GGUCAAGUGAAGAAGCGCAUACGGUGGAUGCCUUGGCAGUCAGAGGCGAUGAAAGACGUGGUAGCCUGCGAAAAGCUUCGGGGAGUCGGCAAACAGACUGUGAUCCGGAGAUAUCUGAAUGGGGGAACCCAGCCAUCAUAAGAUGGUUAUCUUGUACUGAAUACAUAGGUGCAAGAGGCGAACCAGGGGAACUGAAACAUCUAAGUACCCUGAGGAAAAGAAAUCAACCGAGAUUCCCUUAGUAGUGGCGAGCGAACGGGGACCAGCCCUUAAGUUGUAUUGAGAUUAGCGGAACGUUCUGGAAAGGACGGCCAUAGUGGGUGAUAGCCCUGUACGCGAAAAUCCUUUUGCAAUGAAAUCGAGUAGGACGGGGCACGAGAAACCUUGUCUGAAUAUGGGGGGACCAUCCUCCAAGGCUAAAUACUACUGACUGACCGAUAGUGAACCAGUACCGUGAGGGAAAGGCGAAAAGAACCGCGGAGAGCGGAGUGAAAUAGAUCCUGAAACCGUAUGCGUACAAGCAGUGGGAGCCCACUUUGUUGGGUGACUGCGUACCUUUUGUAUAAUGGGUCAGCGACUUAUUUUCAGUGGCGAGCUUAACCGAAUAGGGGAGGCGUAGCGAAAGCGAGUCUUAAUAGGGCGUCUAGUCGCUGGGAAUAGACCCGAAACCGGGCGAUCUAUCCAUGGGCAGGUUGAAGGUUGGGUAACACUAACUGGAGGACCGAACCGACUACCGUUGAAAAGUUAGCGGAUGACCUGUGGAUCGGAGUGAAAGGCUAAUCAAGCUCGGAGAUAGCUGGUUCUCCUCGAAAGCUAUUUAGGUAGCGCCUCAUGUAUCACUGUAGGGGGUAGAGCACUGUUUCGGCUAGGGGGUCAUCCCGACUUACCAAACCGAUGCAAACUCCGAAUACCUACAAGUGCCGAGCAUGGGAGACACACGGCGGGUGCUAACGUCCGUCGUGAAAAGGGAAACAACCCAGACCGUCAGCUAAGGUCCCAAAGUCAUGGUUAAGUGGGAAACGAUGUGGGAAGGCUUAGACAGCUAGGAGGUUGGCUUAGAAGCAGCCACCCUUUAAAGAAAGCGUAAUAGCUCACUAGUCGAGUCGGCCUGCGCGGAAGAUGUAACGGGGCUCAAACCAUGCACCGAAGCUACGGGUAUCAUCUUUUGAUGAUGCGGUAGAGGAGCGUUCUGUAAGCCUGUGAAGGUGAGUUGAGAAGCUUGCUGGAGGUAUCAGAAGUGCGAAUGCUGACAUGAGUAACGACAAUGGGUGUGAAAAACACCCACGCCGAAAGACCAAGGUUUCCUGCGCAACGUUAAUCGACGCAGGGUUAGUCGGUCCCUAAGGCGAGGCUGAAAAGCGUAGUCGAUGGAAAACAGGUUAAUAUUCCUGUACUUCUGGUUAUUGCGAUGGAGGGACGGAGAAGGCUAGGCCAGCCUGGCGUUGGUUGUCCAGGUUUAAGGUGGUAGGCUGAGAUCUUAGGUAAAUCCGGGAUCUUAAGGCCGAGAGCUGAUGACGAGUGUUCUUUUAGAACACGAAGUGGUUGAUGCCAUGCUUCCAAGAAAAGCUUCUAAGCUUCAGGUAACCAGGAACCGUACCCCAAACCGACACAGGUGGUUGGGUAGAGAAUACCAAGGCGCUUGAGAGAACUCGGGUGAAGGAACUAGGCAAAAUGGCACCGUAACUUCGGGAGAAGGUGCGCCGGUGGAGGUGAAGCAUUUACUGCGUAAGCCCCUGCCGGUCGAAGAUACCAGGCCGCUGCGACUGUUUAUUAAAAACACAGCACUCUGCAAACACGAAAGUGGACGUAUAGGGUGUGACGCCUGCCCGGUGCCGGAAGGUUAAUUGAUGGGGUUAGCGCAAGCGAAGCUCUUGAUCGAAGCCCCGGUAAACGGCGGCCGUAACUAUAACGGUCCUAAGGUAGCGAAAUUCCUUGUCGGGUAAGUUCCGACCUGCACGAAUGGCGUAACGAUGGCGGCGCUGUCUCCACCCGAGACUCAGUGAAAUUGAAAUCGCUGUGAAGAUGCAGUGUAUCCGCGGCUAGACGGAAAGACCCCGUGAACCUUUACUAUAGCUUUGCACUGGACUUUGAAUUUGCUUGUGUAGGAUAGGUGGGAGGCUUUGAAGCGUGGACGCCAGUCUGCGUGGAGCCAACCUUGAAAUACCACCCUGGCAACUUUGAGGUUCUAACUCAGGUCCGUUAUCCGGAUCGAGGACAGUGUAUGGUGGGUAGUUUGACUGGGGCGGUCUCCUCCUAAAGAGUAACGGAGGAGUACGAAGGUGCGCUCAGACCGGUCGGAAAUCGGUCGUAGAGUAUAAAGGCAAAAGCGCGCUUGACUGCGAGACAGACACGUCGAGCAGGUACGAAAGUAGGUCUUAGUGAUCCGGUGGUUCUGUAUGGAAGGGCCAUCGCUCAACGGAUAAAAGGUACUCCGGGGAUAACAGGCUGAUACCGCCCAAGAGUUCAUAUCGACGGCGGUGUUUGGCACCUCGAUGUCGGCUCAUCACAUCCUGGGGCUGAAGCCGGUCCCAAGGGUAUGGCUGUUCGCCAUUUAAAGUGGUACGCGAGCUGGGUUUAGAACGUCGUGAGACAGUUCGGUCCCUAUCUGCCGUGGACGUUUGAGAUUUGAGAGGGGCUGCUCCUAGUACGAGAGGACCGGAGUGGACGAACCUCUGGUGUUCCGGUUGUCACGCCAGUGGCAUUGCCGGGUAGCUAUGUUCGGAAAAGAUAACCGCUGAAAGCAUCUAAGCGGGAAACUUGCCUCAAGAUGAGAUCUCACUGGAACCUUGAGUUCCCUAAAGGGCCGUCGAAGACUACGACGUUGAUAGGUUGGGUGUGUAAGCGCUGUGAGGCGUUGAGCUAACCAAUACUAAUUGCCCGUGAGGCUUGACCAU